Molecule: ribosomal RNA, 337 nt
Filed under: uncultured Streptococcus sp.
Lineage: Bacteria; Bacillati; Bacillota; Bacilli; Lactobacillales; Streptococcaceae
Description: bacterial SSU rRNA
Rfam family: Bacterial small subunit ribosomal RNA
Source: RNAcentral
UGCAUGGUUGUCGUCAGCUCGUGUCGUGAGAUGUUGGUUAAGUCCGCAACGAGCGCAACCCCUAUUGUUAGUUGCCAUCAUUCAGUUGGGCACUCUAGCGAGACUGCCGGUAAUAAACCGGAGGAAGGUGGGGAUGACGUCAAAUCAUCAUGCCCCUUAUGACCUGGGCUACACACGUGCUACAAUGGUUGGUACAACGAGUUGCGAGUCGGUGACGGCGAGCUAAUCUCUUAAAGCCAAUCUCAGUUCGGAUUGUAGGCUGCAACUCGCCUACAUGAAGUCGGAAUCGCUAGUAAUCGCGGAUCAGCACGCCGCGGUGAAUACGUUCCCGGGCCUU